RNAcentral lists this ribosomal RNA (375 nucleotides) under uncultured bacterium. Its description in RNAcentral is "bacterial SSU rRNA". It matches the Rfam family "Bacterial small subunit ribosomal RNA", at positions 32 to 386 of the family's 1533-position model. The record is from RNAcentral.
AAUCAACGCUGGCGGCGUGCCUCAGACAUGCAAGUCGAACGCGAAAGUUUCCUUCGGGAAACAAGUAGAGUGGCGCACGGGUGAGUAACACGUAGGUAAUCUACCUUCGGAUGGGGAAUAACAAUCGGAAACGGUUGCUAAUACCGCAUAAUGCAGCGGCACCUAAUGGUGACAGUUGUUAAAGCGGGGAUCGAAGACCUCGCGUCUGAAGAGGAGCCUGCGGCGGAUAGCUAGUUGGUAAGGUAAUGGCUUACCAAGGCUACGAUCCGUAACCGGCCUGAGAGGGCGGGUCGGUCACACUGACACUGACAUACGGGUCAGACUCCUACGGGGAGGCAGCAGUCGGGAAGUUUUGGGCAAUGGGCGAAAGCCUGA